Long non-coding RNA from Trifolium pratense (red clover), 28170 nucleotides. RefSeq lists it as uncharacterized. The transcript has 4 exons. The record is from RefSeq and is a predicted model, not a curated record. NCBI's taxonomy places the organism in Eukaryota, Viridiplantae, Streptophyta, Magnoliopsida, Fabales, Fabaceae.
AUCCUCGUCAAAGGAGCACGCUCUAUAUCUCUCUCGUUUGUUCUUCAUCCUAAAUUCUUAAUUACUACUUUGUUGAUAAUCUUGAAUUUUUUCAUUGCACAGUUUUGAUUGUUCUUCUUCUUCAGAUCGGCUUCUCAAACUCGAUUAAAUGACUCGAUUUUAGGGUUUGCAGUUCUUGAUUUCUUCGAUUUCAUGGAUAUCGUUGUUGAAUUGCGUUUUCAUAUGCUAUUUUCGGAUUAUAGAUAUCAAGAAUUUCACAAUUCUUCAAUGGUUAAUCGAGAUUUGCGUUUAUCGAUUUUGCAGCAAGCUGAAACGUUUUAGGGUUCUUGAUUCGAUGCAUGAGAACGGAGAACAAUCAGAUAGCAUGAUUCUUCAAUAACUUUCUUAUGGAGCCUCUAGUUUGUUGUGAUUUGGUGAUCUCUAAUAAAAAAAUAUUCUUUCAAUCUUUUUUCAUCAAUUAAACUUAUUCUUAUUCUCACAGUUUAUAUUUCUUGAUUUCUUGAUAUGUUGGCCAGAUUCUCUGCUCCGUGAUUGCUUAAUACCAUAUUGUAGGCAUCAAGAAUCAGAAUUUUACACGAUCACAUUUUCAUGAAUCUUUUACUUAUCAGUCAUUAGGAAUUAUUAUUUGUAUAAAUUUAUUGUUAUAAUUCUUCUGUUAGAUAAUAGAUAAUUGAGACGUGCAUUGUUGGUUUUGCAGUGAACUGAAGUCAAAAUACUAACUUGCUUCAUAGCAUGGUGCCUCGAGAUUUGGUUUGGCUAUCUUUAAUAAAAAAUUUGUUUCAACCUUUCUUUAUUGAUUCUUAUAUCAUAUUUCUUGAUUUGGUAUUUACUAUUUGGUUCUUUGGUAGAAGAUAUGAAUAUAUGAUUUAAAAUAUUUUAUUCUAAAGUUUGCUUGUUCUUGUGUUCAAUUUUCUUUUGUUUCUUGAUUCCUUGAUAUGUUGAUUUGUUGGCCAGGUUGUGUUUUCCAUGGUUGCUAUAAACUAGAACAAGAGAUUGUUAGUGAUAUAUGCUUUUUUCCUAUUGUAGAUAACAAGAAAUUGACACAAUCAACACUUCUCUUGACUCUUCUUUUAAAUCGGUUAUCAAGAUUAUUUGUCUAAAUUUUGUAUAUAAUUCUUCAUAAUUGGAUAAUCAAGAUACACUUUAUCCAUUUUGCAGUUAUAUUCUAGCAACAUAAGAACGGAGAAUGACACCAAUAGAUAAAUCAGUUUUUUCAUUGAGUUGUUCUUCAUUUUUUUUUGGCUCAAAAUAUAUGAAUUGAAGUUUGAAAUUGUUUUCCCUCUAGCGUGAUUUGUCAAAUUAAUAAAAUUCUACAAAGCAUGGAGCCUAUCAUUUUUGAUUUGGUAAUAUCUAUAAAAUUCUUUUCUGUUUUAAAAUUUCUUCAUCCAAUCUGAGAGUAUAUAUAUGUUGAUUUUUUAUUUACAUUUUGGUGUUUCAGGAGAAGUAAUUAGUGAACAUAGGAUUUCUUCGGUUUCUAUAUCUCCCUCUUCUGUGAUUUUCAUGUGUUGCGUUCUUAUUCUUGUUGAUUAUUUUAUUCUCUUAAUUCUGAAGUUUGAUUGGUUUAUUGUUGGUUUCAAUUUUGGAGUUUGUUGUUCUUAUUUUAAUUUUAAUGAUCUGGUUGUUGUGUUUGUUAGAGUUUCAUUUACGGUUCUUCUAACUCCUCAUUAGUAACAAAUAUUAUACUAUGUAAACUGGUGUUCUGCAUUUAAUUUGUUGGCAGAAUGCUGGAGUUCUCAUUUGAAUUUUCUGUUUUAAGGUGUUUCCAAUUGUGUAUGAGUUAUUCUCUGUUGGCAAACUUCAUUUUCAUUUCAGUUAUUCUCUGUAUUUUAGUGUCCAGUCUUUUUUGUUUUCGUUCCAUGGUUGUUACGUGCGAGAGAUAUUGAUGUGCGAGUAGGGUUGCUGGUUUUAUCUGAAUAGUUCAGCUCACUACUGUUUCCUUACAUUAAUGUUUCUGUAUGACAUCUUUCUGUAUUACACGAUUCUGGAAAAGUUGGGACAACUUUGUGGUAUUGUAUUUGUGAUAUGCUGAUCAGAGGCUUGGUUUAGAGAAUUAUGCUAAUCUUUUGUCUUUUUUCUUCUUUUUUUUCUACAACUAUUUGCCACACUACCCCAUCAUUGUACUGUUUUCUUAUAUUUAGGUUUUUGACAUAUAAUUGACAGUGCGAAAGUUUACUCAAUUCUGAAGAAAGUGGACAGCUUUGUGGGGUUUUUUUCUAGCCGUGAUCUAAACGUCUUGAUAUGAAGGUGUCCCCUGCUAGUUUAGCAGUUUUUGCAUCAGGAGUGUGAGUGUGUAACAUACAAGAUUCUAAGCCUUUUGAAUUUAAUGGGUUUUGUUUCUUCCUUGAAUGUAGAUGCCCAUCUCUUUCUUGGAUAAUCAAGAUAUACACGUCUGUUUUGCAGUAAGCUGAUGACCUUGGAGGUUGCUGUUCUUAUUUUAAUGACCUACUGCUAUUAACGUAUCAAUUUUCUUCAAUGAGUGUCCUUCUUUGUUGUUUUUAUUUUUUCUUGGGUUUGAUGUAAGAUAAAUGAAUUGAAUUGUGAACGUGUUUUUCUGCAGCAUGGUUCUUCAAUAACUUUCUUAUGGAUCCUCUGCUUUUGUGAAAUGGUGAUUUCUAGUAAAAAAUAUUCAUUUCAAUCUUUUUUCAUUAAUUCUUAUUAUUUAUGCUUAUUCUCAUAUUGUAGCCAUCAAGAAUUAUUUCUAUAAAUUUAUUGAUAUAAUUCCUCAUUAGAUAAUAGAUAAUUGAGACGUGUGUUGUCGGUUUUGCAGCGAGCUAAAGUCCAAAUAGCGAUUCUUGAUUGAGUAGAUAAAGAACAGAGAGAGAACAAUCAGAUAUAUAAAUCUUGAUUGAGUAGAUAAGAACAGAGAACAACCAGAUAGAUAAAUCAAAUUUCUUCAAUGAAUCAUUCUUUUUUAAUUUUUAUUUCUUGGCUUUGAUGCAAAAUAAAUGAAUUGAACUUUGAACAUGUUUUCUGCAGCUUGGUUUGUCAAAAUAAUAACUUUCUUCAUAGCAUGGCGCCUCGAGAUUUGGUUAGAUAAUAGAUAAUUGAGACGCGUGUUGUCGAUUUUGCAGCGAGCUGAAGUCCAAAUAGCCAUUCUUGAUUGAACGGAUAAGAACAGAGAAUAAUCAGAUAGAUAAAUCGAAUUUCUUCAAUGAAUCGUUCUGUUUUAAUUUUUAUUUCUUGGCUUUCAUGCAAAAUAAAUUAAUUGAACUUUGAACGUGUUUUCUGCAGCUUGGUUUGUCAAAAUAAUAACUUUCUUUAUAGCAUGGAGCCUCGAGAUUUGGUUUGGCGGUAUUUAGUAAAAACAUUUGUUGCAAUUUUCUUUAUUGAUUCUUAUAUCAUAUGAUUUGCUAUUAACUCUUUGGUUCUGCAGGAGAAGAUGUGAUCUUAAUUUUUCAAUUCUAAAGUUUGCCUGUUGUGUUCAAUUCUCUUUUGUUUCUUGAUUUCUUGAUCUGUUGGCCAGGUUGUUCUUUCCAUGAUUGCUUAAUUUCGGGGUUGCUAUAAACGAGAAUAGGAGAUUGUUAGUGAUAUGCUUUUAUCACCGUCGUUAUCAACAAAUUCAGCAAUCACACUUCUCUCGACUCUUCUUUUAAAUCAGUUAUCAAGAAUUAUUUGUCUAAAUAAUGUAUAUAAUUCUUCAUAAUUGGAUAAUCGAGAUACACUUCUUAUCCAUUUUGCAGUGAGCUGAGAAGUCUUCUAUUCUAGCACAGAUAAGAACGGAGAAUGACACCAAUAGAUAAAUCAGUUUUUUUUUCCCAUUAGUUGUUCUUCAUUUUUAUUUCUUGGAUUCACAUAUAUGAAUUGAAAUUUGAACAUGUUUGCUAUGUCCGUGAUUUGUCAAGUUAAUAAAAUUGUACAUAGCAUGGAGCCUAUCAUUUUUGAUUUGGUGAUAUCUGUUCAAUAUUUUUUUGUUUUAAAAUUUCUUCAUCCACUCUGAGAGUAUAUAUAUGUUGAUUUGUUAUUUACUCUUUGGUGUUUCAGGAGAAGUAGUCAAUGAACAUAUGAUUUCGUCGGGUUCUGUAUCUUCGUCUUCUGUGAUUUUCAUGUGUUGCGUUCGUAUUCUUUUUUUGUUGAUUAUUUGGUUCUCUUAAUUCUGAAGUUUGAUUUGUUUAUUGUUGGUUUCAAUUUUGGAGUUUGUUGUUUUGUUUAAUUUGUUGGCAGAAUGCUGGAGUUCUCAUGUGAAUUUAUUGUUUUAAGGUGUUUCCAAUUGAACAUCAGAUAAUGGUAAUAAUGUUUUGCGAAACUUGACACAUGAUUACCACGCCAGGUUGAAUUGUGAAUUGAAACUGUCUGUUUUCUACCAUGUAGUUUUUUUUACAUUCUUCUUGAUUGCGAAACUUGCUAUGUAGUAUCAAGCAAUCAGGUUCAUUUUGGCAAAAUCUUCUUGAUUGUGAAUCAUUUUACUCCUUUACCCCUUAGGUUUUCCUUACAUUUAGCUUUUUUUACACCUUAGGUUUUCUUACAUUUAGUUUUUUGACAAUGUAAUCUGACAAAAAUUAUCCAUGAUUCUGGACAUAUGAUGUUCUUCACAGGUAAGUGUUACAUGGGUUUGGUGUGCAAUAGAAGCCUCUUUUAUCAAUCACAUCGCACCUUGUUAAUUUUUGUCUGAAGUGGGGAAAGUAGAGAUAAGUGCCUUUGCCCCUUCUGGACUUGUUCUUUUCGUUUCAGUCUUUCUUUGUUGAUUCUGAGAGCAAAUAUUUAUUUUUGAUUUACUAUUUGGUGCUGUAGGAAUUUUAUGAUUCUAAAGGUUUUGUUUGUUCUGGUUUCCUCUGUGAUGACUUAAUUUAAGGGUUUGCUGUUCCUUUUUUUCAUGGAUCUGGUUUUAUAGACAAAAAUUAUUCGGGAUCUACGUUGUAACAUCCUUUUCUCAGAUCUGUUAUCACAUUUCUGUUGACCCUUAUUUUACGGAUAGGUUUCCAAGAUUUUGCAGCGAGCUGCCGGAGAUAAUCGAGAUUGGAUCUAAAACGUUUCGCGAUACUUGAUUCGACGCAUAAGAACGGAGAACAAUCAGAUAGAUAAAACAAAUUUUCUUCAAUGAGUGUCCUUCUUUUAUGGUUUUUAUUUUUUCUUUGCCCAUGAUGCAAGAUAAUCGAAUUGAACCGUGAAUGUUGUUUUCUGCAGCAUGAUUCUUCAAUAACUUUCUUGGGGAGCCUCUGGUUUUGUGAUUUGGUGAUCUCUAGUAAAUUAUAUCCUUUCAAUCUUUUGCAUUAAUUAAACUAUUUUUCCUGUUCAAAAAAUUGAACUUAUUCUUAUAGUAUAUAUUUUUUGAUAUGUUGUGCUCCGUGAUUGCUUAAAUCUGAUAUUGUAGCCAUCUGAUGAUUGCUUCUCAUAAAUCUCCGUUUACCUAUCAGAUAGAUAAAUCAAUUUCCUUCAAUGAGUGUCCUUCUUUAUGGUUUUUAUUUUUUCUUGGCUUUGAUGCAAGAUAAACGAAUUGGACUGUGAACGUGUUUUUCUGCAGCAUGGUUCUUCCAUAACUUCCUUAUGGAGCCUCUGGUUUUGUGUCUCUAGUAAAAAAUAUCCGUUCCAAUCUUUUUUGAUUAAUUCUUAUUAUUUUUUCUUAUUCGUAUAGUAUACUUAUAUUUCUUGAUUUCUUGAUAUGUUGGCCAGAUUGUGUGCUCCGUGAUUGCUUAAUCUCAUAUUGCAGCCAUCAAGAAUCAGAAUUUUACACGAUCACACUUCUCAUGAAUCUUUUUUUACUUAUCAGUCAUCAAGAAUUAUUUGCAUUUAUUGAUAUAAUUCUUCAUUAGAUAAUAGAUAAUUGAGACGUGCGUUGUCGGUUUUGCAGUGAGCUGAAGUCCAAAUAGCAAUUCUUGAUUGAAUGGAUAAGAACAGAGAACAAUGAGAUAGAUAAUUCGAAUUUCUUCAAUGAAUCGUUCCUUUUAAAUUUUUAUUUCUUGGCUUUGAUGAUGCAAAAUAAAUUAAUUGAAGUUUGAACGCGUUUUCUGCAGCUUGGUUUGUCAAAAUAAUAACUUUCUUCAUAGCAUGGUGCCUCGAUAUUUGGUUUGGCGGUCUUAGUAAAAACAUUUGUUUCAAUCUUUCUUUAUCGAUUCGUAUAUCAUAUAUUUCUUGAUUUCUUGAUUUGGUGUUUACUCUUUGGUUCUGCAGGAGAAGAUGUGAUUUUAAUUUUUCAAUUCUGAAGUUUGCCUGUUGUGUUCAAUUUUCUUUUGUUUCUUGAUCUGUUGGCCAGGUUGUUUUUUCCAUGAUUGCUUAAUUUCAGGUUUGCUAUAUACGAGAAUAGGAGAUUGUUAGUGAUAUGCCUUUCUAUAUCAAGAAAUUCACGCAAUUACACUUCUCAACUCUUCUUUUAACUCGGUCAUGAAGAAUUAUAUGUCUAAUUUUUGUAUAUAAUUCUUUAUACAUUUUAUACAUUUUGCUGAGAAGUCUUCUAUUCUAGCAACAGAUAAGAACAGAGAAUGACACCAAUAGAUAAAUUAGUUUUUUCAGUUUUUCAUUAGUUGUUCUUCAUUUUUAUUUCUUGGCUGAUAUACAAAUUGAAGUUUUUAAAAUUCUUCUUUGUUUUUAAAAUUUCUUCAUCCACUCUGAGAGUAUAUAUAUGUUGAUUAGUUAUUUACUCUUUGGUGUUUCAGGAGAAGUAGUCAGUGAACAUAUGAUUUCUUCGGGUUUUAUAUCUUCCUCUUCUGUGAUCAUGUGUUGCAUUCUCAUUCUUUUUCUUGGUGAUUAUUUCGUUCUCGUAAUUCUGAAGUCUGAUUUGUUUAUUGUUGGUUACAAUUUUAAAGUUUGUUGUUCUGCGUUUAAUUAGUUGGCAGAAUGCUGGAAUUCUCAUGUGAAUUUUCUGUUUUAAGGUGUUUCCAAUUGAGUACCAGAUAAUGGUAAUGUUUUGUGAAACUUGAUACAUGAUUAUCACCCAGGUUGAAUUGUGAAUUGAAACUGUUUGUUUUCUGCUGUCUAGUUUGUUUCAAAGCGAUAUCAUGCUAUGUAGUAUCAAGCAAUCAGGUUCCUUUUGGCACAAUCUUCUUAAUUGUGAAUCAUUUUACUCCUUUACACCUUAGGUUUGGAGAAAUAUUUAUUGUUUUUCUUGAUAUUUCUACGAUGAUUUGUCGCGGCAUAAUUUUUCUACACAUGUAUCAUCUGGUGUUCACAGGGUAUGUCUUACAAGAGAUUAGUGUGCAAAAGACAUCUCCUUUCUCAAUAACACUGCACCUAGUUAAUUUUGGUCUGCGAAGGGGAGAAAUAGGAGAUAAGUGCCUUUUCCCUUUGUACUACUAAUCUUCUGUCAACCAAUUUACAUGUAUCAACCAGUUAUGUUGCUAGGCUUAAAGGAUAUCCUGUUAAUAACAGUGGCCCAAGCACUUCUCUUUAUUAGGAGGAAUCUGAAAUUGUCUGUUCAUAUGGAAACACAACGACCUUGAAAUUUGAUGCAAAUUUGUUUUCAUGAAUCAUCAUCUCUACAGGCUGUGUCGUAUACUCUCUACUGUCACUAGGGUAUAGUUUGGUCAUCUCUACUGAGGCUCUUUACAUUUCAGGCUUUGUUUGAUAAUAAUCAGUAUCUACUUUUGGCUAUUUCUUUGAGUUUUCUAUGUGGGUUUGACACGGGAUAUUUGUGGCAGGCAGAGAGCUGAAGUAUGGUUAUUAUCAGAGAGAUGAAGAUUGGUUAUUAUUGGAGAAUGGGUUUAGAUAAUCCACAUUUUUUCCAUGAGUCAUUCUUUAUUUUAAAUUUUGUGCUUUUGAGUACAUGACAUAUAAAAUUUUGUGCUUUGAGUACAUGACAUAUAAAUUGAACUUGAGCUUGCUUUUUUUUGACCAAUGAAUUUGCUUUUUCUGCCGUUUGGUUUGUCAAAAUAAUAACUUUGAUUUGCUGUUGCCUAGUAAAUUCUUUUUGUUUCAAUCUUUAUUGAUUUUGAGAGCAUAUAUUUCUUGAUUUUUAUCCUCCUAAAGGUUUCUUUUGAUUUGCUCCUUGAUGGAUGAACUUCAGUGUUUGCAGUUCUAUAUUCUUUGACUUGCUUCUAUAAUCUAGAUAUCUAGCGAUUUACAUAGUAACGUGAGUUUCUCAGAUCUGUUAUCACACUUAGAAUGACUCUUACUUUACGAAAGGUUAUCAAGAAUUAUUUGUAUAAUUUUUAUAAUUCAUCAUUUGAUAAUCGAGAGAUCCUUUAUCCUUUUUGCAGCGAGAUAUCCUUUCCUCUUUCCAGCCAGCUGUGAGAUCCUGAUACAGUGGACAAGAAUGGAGAAAUUGAAUUUUGAAUAUAUAUUGUUUUUCUGAAGUGUGGUUUGAUUUCUCAAACUAAUAACUUUCUUCAUAGCAUGGAGCAUAGCAUUUUGAUUUGGUGAUUAUCUAUUAAAAUUGCCACAAAUUUGUGGGGUUCACUUUGUAACUAUGAUUCCAGAGAUAGAUAAAAUUCCAGAGAAUGGUUCCAGAUAGAUAAAUAAAAUUCCUUCAAUGAAUCGUUCUUAUUUAUUUUAAUUUAUGGGAUUCAAUUACUAGACAUAAAUUGAAUUGUGUACAUGUUUUUCUGCAGUGUGAAAAAUUGCGACAACUUUGUGGGGUUCACUUUGUAACUAUGAUUCCAGGGAUCAGUGGCUUGGUUUGAAGAAAUCUUUUUGUUGUUUUUUGUUUAUUUUCUACAACUAUUUGUUGCGGCGUAAUAUUUCUGCACAUGUAUCAUCUGUGGUAUUCGCAGGGUCUGUGGUAUACAUGGGUUUGAUCUGCAACAGAGGGCUCCUUUCUGAAUCACACCGCACCUUGUUAAUUUUUCUGUUUGGAGUGGAGAAGUAGGAGAUGAGUGCCUCUUCUUGUACUAUGUGUCUUCUAUCAAGAAAUUUAAAUGCUACUUGGUCCUUUCUCAUUCAUCCUUGUGAUAUAAUUGGUCCUUUUUACAUAUAUCUGUUUCUGUUCCUGAAUAGUUGUCCUUGAAUCGUGUUGCUUAAUCUCAUAUUGUAGCCAAUCAAGAAUCAAAAUUUUACACGAUAAAACUUCUCAUCAAUCUUCUUUUACUUAUCAGUAAUCAAGAAUUAUUUGUAUAAAUUUAUUGUUAUAAUUCUUCUGUUAGAUAAUAGAUAAUUCAGACGUGCCUUGUCGGUUUUGCAGCGAGCUGAAGUCCAAAUAGCAAUUCUUGAUUGAAUGGAUAAGAACAGAGAACAAUCAGAUAGAUAAAUUGAAUUUCUUCAAUGAACAAUCUUUUAUAAUUUUUAUUUCUUGGCUUUGAUGCAUAAUAAGUGAAUUGAACUUUGAAUGUGUUUUCCGCAGCUUGUCUUUCUUCAUAGCAUGGAGCCUCGAGAUUUGGUUUGGCGAUCUUUAGUAAAACAUUUGUUUUAAUCUUUCUUUAUUAAUUCUUAUAUCAUAUAUAUUUCUUGAUUUGGUAAUUUAGUCUUUGGUUCUGCAUGAGAAGAUGUGAUUUUAAUUUUUCGAUUCUAAUGUUUGCUUGUUCAUGUGUUCAAUUUCUUUUGUUUCUUGAUUUCUUGAUCUGUUGGCCAGGUUGUUUUUUCCAUGAUUGCUUAAUUUCAGGGUUCCUAUAAACGAGAAUAGGAGAUUGUUAGUGAUAUGCUUUUUUCAUAUUGUAGAUAUCAAGAAAUUCACCCAAUUACACUUCUCUUGACUUGUCUUUUAAUUGAAAUACUCUUUUUAUCCAUUUUGCAGAGAGCUGAGAAGUCCUCUAUUCUAGCAACAGAUAAGAACGGAGAAUGACAUAUACGAAUUGAACUUUUUUCAUUGAGUUCUUCAUUUUUAUCGAGUUGUUCAUUCAAUUUUUUCAUUGAGUUGUUCUUCAUUUUUAUUUCUUGGCUCGACAUAUACGAAUUGAAGUUUGAUGUUUUCUCUGCAGCGUGAUUUGUCAAAUUAAUAAAAUUCUACAUAGCAUGGAGCCUAUCAUUUUUGGUUUGGUGAUAUCUAUUAAAUUUUUUUUUUUUUUAAAAAUUUCUUCAUCCACUCUGAGAGUAUAUAUAUGUUGAUUUGUUAUUUACUCUUUGGUGUUUCAGGAGAAGUAGUCAGUGAACAUAUGAUUUCUUCAGGUUCUAUAUCUUUCUCUUCUGUGAUUUUCAUGUGUUGCGUUCAUAUUCUUUUCUUGUUGAUUAUUUCGUUCUCUUAAUUCUGGAGUUCUCAUGUGAAUUUUCUGUUAUAAGGCGUUUCUAAUUGAGUAUAAGAAAAUGGUAAUGUUUUGCGAAACUUGAUACAUGACUGUUUUCUCUCGUGGAGUUUGUUUUGAAGCUAUAACUUGCUAUGUAGUAUCAAGCAAUCAGGUUCAUUUUGGCACAAUCUUCUUGAUUGUGAAUCAUUUUACUCCUUUACACCUUCGGUUUUCUUACAUUUAGUUUUUUGAUAAUGUAAUUGACAAUAAUUAUCCACGAUUCUGGACAUAUGAUGUUCACACUGUUAUCACAUUUCUGUUGACUCUUAUUUUACGGCAAAUUUGUUUUAAUGAAUCAUCAUCUCUACAUUCUGUGUUGUAUAUUAUCUACUGGUGCUAGGCUAUAAUUUGGUCAUCUCUACUAAGGCUCUUUACAUUUCAGUCUUUGUUUGAUAAUAAUCAGUAUCUACUUUUGUCAAUUUCUUUGAGUUUUUUGUGUGGGUUUGAGUGUUUGACACGGGAUAUUUGUGGCAGGCAGAGAGCUGAACUAUGGUUAUUAUUGGAGAAUGCAUUCAGAUUAUCCACAUUUUUUCAACGAGUCAUUCUUCAUUUUAAAUUUUGUGCUUCGAUUACAUGACCUAUUACAAUGAGUCAUUCUUUAUUUUAAAUUUUGUGCUUCGAGUACAUGACAUAUAAAUUGAACUUGAGCUUGCUUUUUUUUGACCAAUGAAUAUGCUUUUUCUGCAGCUUGGUUUGUCAAAAUAAUAUCUUCUGUCAACACAUGGAGACUCAAGUUUUGAUUUGCUGUUGCCUAGUAAAUUCUUUUUGUUUAUUGAUUUUUUUUUGACAAGCAAUCUUUAUUAAUUUUGAGAGCAUAUAUUUCUUGAUUUAUGAUCUACUCUUCGGUGCUGUCAGUGUUUGCGGUUCUACUUUCCUUGAUCUGCUUCAAUAAUCUAGAUAGCUAGGGAUUUAUAUAGUAACACGAGUUUCUCAGAUCUGUUGUCACACUUCGAAUGACUCUUACUUUACGAAUAGCUUAUCAAGAAUUAUUUGUAUAAUUAAUAUAAUUCAUCAUUUGAUAGUCGAGAGAUCCUUUAUCCUUUUUGCAUCGAGGGAUCCUUUCCUCUUUCCAGCUAGCUGAGAGAUCCUGAUACAAUGGACAAAAUGGAGAAUGGCUCCACAUAGAUAUAUCAAAUUUCUUAAAUCAGUCGUUUUAUUUAUUUGAAUUUUUGGGAUUUUAUUGCAAGACAUACAUAUUGAAUUUUGAACAUAUUGUUUUUCUGCAGUGAGGUUUGUCAAACUAAUUACUCUCUUCAUAGCAUGGAGCAUAGCAUUUUGAUUUGGUGAUAUCUAUUAAAUUUUUUUCAUUUUCAAACUUUCAAGUAAUUUGUGAACACACAAUUUCUUGAUUUCUUAUGGUUAUAUUUAUCUCCCUCUUACUAAUGCUGAAUUGAAACAUGUACCCGUUUUCUGCAGUGUGUGUCUUGGAACAACAAAGUUCUGUUAGUAUCAAGCAUACAGGUUUAUUUUGUAGAACUUCAUUUUUAUUUCAGUUAUUCUGUGUUUUAGUGUCCAGUUUUUUUUUUCGUUCCAUGGUUGUUACAUGUGAUAGAUAUUGAUGUGAGAGUAGGGUUGCUAGUUUUAGCUGAAUAGUUCAGCUCAAUACUGUUUUCUUACAUUAAUUAUUUCUGUAUGACAUGUACUCUUUCUGAAUUUACACGAUGCUGAUCAGAGGCUUGGUUUGGAGAAUUAUGCUAAUCUUUUCUCAUUUUUCUUCGUUUUUUCUACAACUAUUUGCCACACUACCCCAUCAUUCUACUGUUUUCUAAUAUUUAUGUUUUUGACAUAUAAUUUGACAAGUUUACUCAAUUCUGAAGAAAGUGCGACAGCUUUGUGGGGUUUUCUUGUAGCCAUGAUCUAAACGUCUUGAUAAACUGGACAAGAGUAGAGAAUGGUUCCAGAUAGAUUAAUAAAGUUCCUUCAAUGAAUCGUUCUUAUUUCUUUUAAUUUCUGGGAUUCGAUUGCAAGACAUAAAUUGAAUUUUGUACAUGUUUAUCUGCAGUGUGAAAAAUUGAGACAACUUUGUGGGGUUCUCUUUGUAACUAUGAUUUCAGAGAUCAGCGGCUUGGUUUGAAGAAAUCUUUUUGUUGUUUUUUUUUUCCUACAACUAUUUGCUGCGGCGUAUUAUUUCUGCACAUGUAUCUUCUGUGGUGUUCGCAGGGUCUGUGGUAUACAUGGGUUUGGUGUGCAACAGAGGCCUCCUUUCUCAAUCACACUACACCUUGUUAAUUUUUCUGUCUAAAGUGGAGACAUUACUUUGUUCGGGGAGGUUUACACUAUAAUUGUCUUUCACUGUAUUGUUGUCUUGACUCUUGAUUAUUUUUCAUUCCCGAUGAUACUUCUCAAAAGAUAUACUCUUCGUUACAGUGGCCCAGGGACUUCUCUGUAUUAGGAGGAAGCUGAAAUUGUCUCUUCAUAUGGGUACACAACGAUCUUGCAAAUUUGAUGAAAUUUGUUUCAAUGAAUCAUCAUAUUCUGCCAGCUGUCGUAUACUCACUGGCAUUCCAAGGCUAUAAUUUGGUCAUUUCUAUUUGAGAAUCUGUUACAUUCAGUCUUUGUUGGAGAAUAAUAAAUUAAUAAUCAACAUCUACUUUUCUCAGCUCCUUUAAGUUUUUUGUGUGGUUGUUACAGGGGAGAUGGCCUAUAAAUGUGUGGCAGGUAGAGAGGUUCACUUACGUUUCGUUCAGCAAUGAAAUAAAACUGGUCAUCCCUCUUACUUUCUGUUCAUCCCUGGGAUAAAACUGGUCAUGCCUCUUAACUUUUCCGUUCAGCCUUGAAUAAAUAAAACUGGUCAUUUUAUACUUACAUGUGUUUUGUGUUGGGAUUUGGGAUAAUGGUCCUAUAAAGGUGUUCCCUGCUAGUUUUGCAUCAGGAAUGUGAGUAUGAAGCUAUGUUGCCAAGGUACGGGUACGGUACCCGAUACAGGUGCGGGUACUGGUACGGGAUACAGCAUUUUGAAAAGAUUUAAGAUACGGGUACGUUAAUACAAAAUAUCAAAAUAAUUAUAUUUUGAGUGAAUUUGUCCACCACCUCAACUAUUUUCAUCAAAAGCAAGAUAAAUAAUUAAUAUGUAAUAAAAAAUUAAAACAUUUUAUGCUAUUUUUAAACCAUCUGCACAUUUUUGCCGUAUCCACCACCCCGAAUCAAUCAAAUAACAAUGGAUUUUGAUUUGUAAGUACCCAGCGAGUACCAUGCAAGUAUCCGGUACUGGUGCGUACCCGGUACGGGUACUUCACCAUUUUAGGAGUACCCAUACUAUGAAGAUUCGGUAUUUUACCAUUUUAGGAGUAUCCAUACCGGUACAGGUACUUCACCAUUUUAGGAGUACCCAUACUAUGCAAGUAUCCGGUAUGAUACAAGAUUCUGAGCCUUUUGAAUUUAACGGGUAUUGUUUCUUCCUUGAAUGUAGAUGUCCAUCUCUUUCUUAGAUAAUCAAGAUAUACACGUUUGUUUUGCAGUAAGCUGAGGCUUAGACAUCUAGAAUGUUGGGAUGCUUCAUAGAAUGGAUAAGAAAGGAGGGUCAAGUUAAAUCCAAUUACUUCAACAUGGUGUUUUUCAGUUUUGGGCUUUGUGAUCAAGACAUUCACAAAUUGAAUUGCGAAUCUUUUUCUUUUCAGUAUAUCAAUUAUGAGUUCAUAUAUAUUUAAGUAGUUAUUUUCCUCUUUGGUGUUGCAGGAGAGGUAAUCUACAAACACGCAAUCCCUUAUGGUUCUGUCUUCCUCUUUUUGAUCUUCAAGUUUUGUAUUCUCACUUUUGUAUUGUCACUUUUUUCAAAAAAUAAAAGUUGUGUAUUCUCACUUUUGUAUUCUCACUUUUUUCAGAAUUUCUUGAAUGAACAUUCUUUUUAAAUUUUUAUUUCUUGGCUUUGAUGCAUAAUAAGUGAAUUGAACAAAUUUUUAUGAGAGCAAAUUUUUUUUUUAUUUGCUAUUCAGUGCUGUAGAAAUUUUAUGAUUCUAAAGGUUUUGUUUGUUCUGGUUUCCUCUGUGAUGACAUAAUUUAAUGGUUUGUUGCUCGGGAUCUAUGUUGACAUCCUUCUCUCAGAUCUGUUAUCACAUUUCUCUUGACUCUUAUUUUACGGAUAUCUUUCCAUUAAUUCUUCAUUUGGUAAUCCAGAUAUCCUUUAUCCUUUUUUGCAGCGAGCUGAAAGUCUUUAUAUUUGAACUUCUUAAUACAAUGGACAAAAACUGAGAAUGGCUCCAGAUAGAUAAAUCAAAUUUCUUCCAAUGCGUUGUUCUUAUUGAUUUUAAUAUCUGGGAUUUGAUUUCAAAUAUAAAUUGAAUUUUGAACCUUUUUUCUUUCUUUUUUUUUCUUUUUCUGCAGAGUGAUUUGUCAAACUAAUAAAAUUCUUCGUAGCAUGGAGCCAGCUUUUUAUUUUGGUGAUGUUGAUUAAAUUUUGAUUUCAAACUUUCAAUUCAGAGAGCAUAUAUUUUGUGUACAUAGAUUUCUUGGUUUCUUCUGGUUCUAUUUAUCUUCUCUUGUUUGAUCUUCGUGAGUUUUUUUUAUUCUUUUGUUUCUUAUUUCGUCUUUUGAUUCUAAUGUUUGAUAUGUUUAUGGUUGUUUUCAAUGAUAAAGUUGUUGUUCAUAUUUUAAUUGUCUGAAUAUUGAGCAUACUGGAGUUCUCAUGUGAGUUUUUAAGUUUCCAAUGUUUUCUCAUAAAAUGAUAAUAAUUUGUGGAUUGGUACAUAUUAUCAUCCCGGGUUGAAUUUGAAUUCAAACAGGUAUCUGUUUUUUGCAGUGUGUCUUGGAACAGUAAUGUUGUGUGGUAUCAAGUAUACAGGUUUAUUUUGGCACACUCUUCAUUUCAUGGUGAACUGAUCAAAUCAUAUAGACUCUGAAUCAUUUUCAUUCAUUCUAUAUUUUAGUGUCCAGUCUUCUUGAUCUACUCUUUUAUGAUCUUUAAUUGAGAUUAGUUUAUUUGAUAUGCGAGGAGGGUUGGUGGUUAUAUCUGAAAGGUUUAUCCUUAGGUUUUAUUGCCCUAUCACAUGACUGUUUUCUUACAUUGAAGAUUUUGACAUGAAAUUUGACAGUGUAAAUUUUUUCACAAUUUUUAAAAAAUUGGAACAGCUUUGUGGGGCUCUCUCUCUGUAACUGCGAUCUGCAGAUUAAUGGUUUGGUUUGGAGAAUUAUGCUAAUCUUUUUCGUUAUAUUUUCUACAAUGUGUCACUACCCCAUCAUACUAUUGUUUUCUUACAUUUUGGUUUAUGACAUGUAAUCUGACAGCCAAAGUUAACACAAUUGGGACAGCAUUGUGGGGUUCUUUUCUGUAACUAUGAUCUUUUUAUUAGUGGCUUGGUUUGGAGAAAUAUUUCUUUUUUUUCUUGAUAUUUCUACAAUUAUUUGUCGCUACGUGAUUUUUCUACACAUGUAUCAUCUGGUGUUCACAGGGUAUGUGUUACUAGGGUUUGUUGUGCAACUAAUCUCCUAUCUCAAUAACACUGCACCAGGUUAAUUUUGGUCUAUGAAGUGGAGAAAUAGGAGAUAAGUGCCUCUUCCCUUUGUACUACUAAUCUACUCUCAACCAAUUUACAUGUAUCAACCAGUUAUGUUGCGAAGCUUAAAGGAUAUCCUCUUCAUAACCGUGGCCCAAGGACUCCUCUGCUGGCUGUGUUGUAUACUAUCUACUGGUGCUAGGCUAUAAUUUGGUCAUCUCUACUGAGGCUCUUUACAAUUCAGUCUUUGUUUGAUAAUAAUCAGUAUCUACUUUCGUCAAUUUCUUUGAGUUUUCUGUGUGGGUUUGACAUGGGAUAUUUGUGGCAGGCAAAGAGCUGAACUAUGGUUAUUAUCAGAGAGAUGAAGAUUGGUUAUUAUUGGAGAAUGCGUUCAGAUAAUCCACAUUUUUUCAAUGAGUCAUUCUUUAUUUUAAAUUUUGUGCUUUGAGCACAUGAUAUAUUUCAAUGAGUCAUUCUUUAUUUUAAAUUUUGUGCUUUUUCUGCAGCUUGGUUUGUGAAAAUAAUGUCUUCUGUCAACACAUGGAGCCUCAAGUUUUGAUUUGCUGUUGCCCAGUAAAUUCGUUUUGUUUCAAUCUUUAUUGAUUUUUUUUUACAAGCAAUCUUUAUUGAUUUUGAAAGCAUAUAUUUCUUGAUUUAUGAUUUACUCUUCGGUGCUGUUGGAAUUUUAUCCUCCUAAAGGUUUCUUUUGGUUUGCUCCGUGAUGUCAGUGUUUGCGGUUCUACUUUCUUUGAUCUGCUUCAAUAAUCUAGAUUGCUAGGGAUUGACAUAGUAACAUGAGUUUUUCCAGAUCUGUUGUCACACUUCGAAUGACUCUUACUUUACGAAUAGAUAAUCAAAUUACUUCUACAUGUUCUUUUCAGUUGGAGGGUCAAGAUAAAUCCAAUUACUUCAACAUGGUGUUCUUUUCAGUUUUGGGCUUUGUGAUUAAAACAUAUACAAAUUGAUUUGCAAAACUUUUUUCCUUCAGUAUAUCGAUUCUGAGUUCAUAUAUAUUUUGGAGUAGUUAUUUUCCUCUUUGGUGUUGCAGGAGAGGUUAUCUACGAACACGCAAUCCCUUAUGAAUUGCUGUUUUCAAAUUACUGCUACAUGUUCUUUUCAGUUGGAGGGUCAAGAUAAAUCCAAUUACUUCAACAUGGUGUUCUUUUCAGUUUUGGGCUUUGUGAUUAAGACACAUACAAAUUGAAUUGCGGAUCUUUUUUCCUUCAGUAUAUCGAUUCUGAGUUCAUAUAUAUUUUUGAGUAGUUAUUUUCCUCUUUGGUGUUGCAGGAGAGGUUAUCUACGAGCACGUAAUCCCUUAUGGUUCUGUCUUCCUCUUGUUUGAUCUUCAAGUUUUGUAUUCUCAGUUAUGUAUCUUUUUGUUGAGGUUUGAUUUGGUUCUUGCUGGUUUGAUCUCGGAGGUUGUUGUUCUUAUUUUAAUGACCUACUGCUAUUAACGAAUCAAUUUUCUUCAAUGAGUUGUUUUUAUUUUUUGUUGGCUUUGACGCAAUUACACUUCUCGACUCUUCUUUUAAAUCGGUUAUCAAGAAUUAUUUGUUCAAAUUUUGUAUAUAAUUCUUCAUAAUUGUUUAAUCGAGAUACACUUUUUUAUCCAUUUUGCAGUGAGCUGAGAAGUCUUCUAUUCUAGCAACAUGAGAACGGAGGAUGACACCGAUAGAUAAAUCAGUUUUUUCAUUGGGUUCUUCAUUUUUAUUUCUUAGCUCGAGAUAUAUGAAUUGAAGUAUGAACUUGUUUUCUCUGCAGCAUGAUUUGUCAAAUUAAUAAAAUUCUACAUACCAUGGAGCCUAUUAUUUUUGAUUUGGUGAUAUCUAUUAAAUUCUUUUCUGUUUUAAAAUUUCUUCAUCCACUCUGAGAGUAUAAUAUAUGUUGAUUUGUUAUUUACAUGAUUAUCACCCCAGGUUGAAUUGUGAAUUGAAACUGUCUGUUUUCUGCCGUGUAGUUUGUUUUGAAGCUAUAACUUGCUUAUGUAGUAUCUAGAAAUCGGGUUCAUUUUGGCAUAAUCUUCUUGAUUGGGAAUCAUUUUACUCCUUUACACCUUAGGUUUUCUUACAUAUAGGUUUUUGACACUAAAAUCAGACAGAAAUUAUCCACGAUUCUGGACAUAUGAUGUUCACAGGUAAUGAGUUAGGUGUGCAAUAGAAGCCUCGUUUCUCAAUCACAUUGCACCUUGUUAAUUUUUGUCUAUAGUGGGGAAAUUGGAUAUAAGUGCCUUUGCCCCUUCUGGACUUGUUCUUUUCGGUUUAGUCUUUCUUUGUUGUUCUGAGAGCAAAUAUUUAUUUUUGAUUUACUAGUUGGUGCUGUAUGAAUUUUAUGAUUCUGAAGGUUUUGUUUGUUAUGGUUUCCUCCGUGAUGACUUAAUUUAAGGGUUUGCUGUUCCUUUUUUCAUUGAUCUGCUUCUAUAGACUAUAUUGUUCAGGAUCUAUGUUGACAUUCUUUUCUCAGAUCUGUUAUCACAUUUCUAUUGACGCUUAAUUUACGGAUAGGUUUCCAAGAAUUCUUCAUUUGAUUAUCCUUACAUCCUUUAUCCUUUUUUGGUCAUCUCUACUGAGGCUCUUUACAUUUCAGUCUUUGUUUGAUAAUCAGUAUCUACUUUUGUCAAUUUCUUUGAGUUUGUUGUGUGGGUUUGACACGGAAUAUUUGUGGCAGGCAGAGAGCUGAACUAUGGUUAUUAUCAGAGAAAUGAAGAUUGGUUAUUAUCAGAGAAAUGAAGAUUGGUUAUUAUUGGAGAAAGCGUUCAGAUGAUCCACAUUUUUUCAAUGAGUCAUUCUUUGUUUUAAAUUUUGUGCUAUGAGUACAUGACAUAUAAAUUGAACUUGAGCUUUCAUUUUUUUGACCAAUGAAUAUGCUUUUUCUGCAGCUUGGUUUGUCAAAAUAAUAACUUCUGUCAAUGCAUGAAGUCUCAACUUGUGAUUUGUUGUUGCCUACGAGAUAUACUUUCCUCUUUCCAGCUAGCUAAGAGAUCCUGAUACAAUGAACAAGAAUGGAGAAUGGCUCCACAUAGAUAUAUCAAUUUUUUUAAAUGAGUCGUAAUAUUUAUUUUAAUUUGUUGGAUUUGGUUGCAACACAUACAAAUUGACUUUUAAACAUAUUGUUUUUCUGCAGUGUGGUUUGUCAAACUAAUAACCUUCUUCAUAGCAUGGUGCAUAGCAUUGUGAUUUGGUGAUAUCUAUUAAAUUCUUUUCAUUUUCAAAAUUUCAAGUAGUUUGUGAACAUAUAAUUUCUUGAUUUCUUCAUUUGAUAAUAGAGAGAUCCUUUAUCCUUUUUGCAGCGAGAUAUACUUUCCUCUUUCCAGCUAGCUGAGAGAUCUUGAUACAAUGAACAAGAAUGGAGAAUGGCUCCACAUAGAUAUAUCAAAUUUUUUAAAUGAGUCGUAUUAUUUAUUUUAAUUUUUGGGAUUUGGUUGCAACACAUACAAAUUGACUUUUAAACAUAUUGUUUUUCUGCAGUGUGGUUUGUCAAACUAAUAACCUUCUUCAUAGCAUGGAGCAUAGCAUUGUGAUUUGGUGAUAUCUAUUAAAUUCUUUUCAUUUUCAAAAUUUCAAGUAGUUUGUGAACAUAUAAAUUCUUGAUUUCUUCCUGUUAUAUUUAUCUUCCUCUUUUUAUAUUUUAAUGAUCUGAUUAUUUUGUUAGGGUUUCAAUUGUUUUUCUUCUAAUUCCUCUUUUGCGACAAAUUUUAUUCUUCGUUUCAUUGUGUACAUUCCUAGUCUUUUGCGAUUAACUUCUUCGUUUCACUACUGUUUUCUUACAUUAAUGUUUAUGUAUGACAUGUAAUCUGACAGUGAGGUUUUACACGAUUCUGGAAAAGUUGGGACAACUUUGUCAGGCUCUCUUUGUGAUCUGCUGAUCAGAGGGCUAGGUUUGGAGAAUUAUGCUAAUCUUUCCUCUUUUUUCUUCGUUUUUUCAACAACUAUUUGCCACACUACCCCAUCAUUCUACUGUUUUCUGAUAUUUAGGUUUUUGACAUAUAAUCUGACAUUGAAAGUUUGCUCGAUUCUGGAAAAGUGCAACACUUUUGUGGGGUUUUCUUGUAGCCAUCAUCUAAACGACUUGAUACAAUGGACAAAAAUGGAGCACGGUUCUAGAUAGAUAAAUAAAAUUCCUUCAAUGAAUCGUUCUUAUUUAUUUUAAUUUCUGGGAUUCGAUUGCAAGUCAUAAAUUGAAUUGUGUAAAUGUUUUUCUGCAGUGUGAAAAAUUUGGGACAACUUUGUAACUGUGAUUUCAGAGAUGAGCGGCAUGGUUUGAAGAAAUAUUUUUGUUGUUUUUUAUUUUUUUUCUACAACUAUUUGUUGCGGCAUAAUAUUUCUGCACAUGUAUCAUCUGUGGUAUUCGCAGGGUCUGUAGAAUGCAUGGGUUUGGUGUGCAACAGAGGUCUCGAGAUUUUUUUCUACAACAUUCUUUUUUAAUUUUUAUGCCUUCGCUUUGAUGCAUUAUAAGUGAACUGAACUUUGAACGUGUUUUCUGCAGCUUGGUUUGUCAAAAUAAUAACUUUCUUCAUAGUAUGGAUUCUCGAGAUUUGGUUUGGCGAUCUUUAGUAAAAACAUUUGUUUCAAUCUUUCAUUAUUAAUUCUUAUAUCAUAUAUAUGUCUUGAUUUGGUACUUACUCUUGGGUUCUGCACGAGAAGAUGUGAUUUUAAUUUUUCGAUUCUAAAAUUUGCUUGUUCUUGUGUUCAAUUUUCUUUUCUUUCUUGAUUUCUUGAUCUGUUUGCCAGUUGUUUUUUUCCAUGAUUGCUUAAUUUCAGGGUUCCUGUAAUCGAGAAUAGGAGAUUGUUAGUGAUAUGCUUUUCUCAUAUUGUAGAUAUCGAGAAAUUCACCCAAUCACACUUCUCUUGACUCUUUUAAAUUGGUUAUCAAGAAUGAUUUGUCUAAAUUUUGUAUAUAAUUCUUCAUAAUUGGAUAAUUGAGAUGCACUUUUUAUCCAUUUUGCAGUGAGUUGAGAACUCUUGUAUUCGUAUGUGUUCUUUCCGUUUAUUCAUUUUUUCCAUUGAGUUGUUCGUCAUUUUUAUUUCUUGGCCCGACAUAUAUGAAUUGAAGUUUGAACAAGUUUUCUAUGCAGUGUGAUUUGUCAAAUUAAUAAAAUUGUACAUAGCAUGGAGCCUAUCAUUUUUGAUUUGGUGAUAUCUAUUAAAUUCUUUUCUGUUUUAAAAUUUCUUCAUCUACUCUGAGAGUAUAUAUAUGUUGAUUUGUUAUUUACUCUUUAGUGUUUCAGGAGUAGUCAGUGAACAUAUGUUAAAUUCUUUUUGAUUUGGUGAUAUCUAUUAAAUUCUUUUCUGUUUUAAAAUUUCUUCAUCUACUCUGAGAGUAUAUAUAUGUUGAUUUGUUAUUUACUCUUUAGUGUUUCAGGAGUAGUCAGUGAACAUAUGAUUUCUUCAGGUUCUAUAUCUUCCUCUUCUGUGAUUUUCAUGUGUUGCGUUCUUAUUCUUUUUUUUGUUGAUUAUUUUGUUCUCUUAAUCUAAAGUUUGAUUUGUUUAUUGUUGGUUCCAAGCAUUUAAUUUGUUGGCAAAAUACUGGAGUUCUCAUGUGAAUUUUCUGUUUUAAUGUGUUUCCAAUUGAGUAUCAGAUAAUGGUAAUGUUUUGCGAAAUUAUGAUUAUCACCCCAGGUUGAAUUGUGAAUUGAAACUGUCUGUUUUCUGCCGUGUAGUUUGGUUCGAAGCUAUACCUUGCUAUGUAGUAUCAAGCAAUCAGGUUCAUUUUGGCACAAUUCAUUUCAUGGUGAACUGAUCAAAGCAUAUAGACUCUGAAUCAUUUUCAUCUCAUUUAUUCUAUAUUUUAUUGUCCAGUCUUCUUAAUCCACUCUUUUUAUGAUAUUUAAUUACGAUUAGUUUUUUUUAUAUGCGUGGAGGGUUGGUGGUUAUAUUUGAUAAGUUCAUCCUUAGGUUUUGUUACCCCCAUCACACAACUGUUUUCUUACAUUGAAGUUUUUGACAUGUAAUCUGACAGUGCAAAUUUUUUAAUAAUUCUGGAAAAAUUGGAACAUCUUUGUGGGGCUCUCUCUUUGUAACUGUGAUCGGCUGAUCAGUGGCUUGGUUUGGAGAAUUAUGCUAAUCAUUUUCUUGAUUUUUUCUACAACUGUGUCACACUACCCCAUCAUACUACUGGUUUCUUUCAUUUUGGUUGAUGACAUGUAAUCUGACAGUGGAAGUUUACACAAUUCUGGUAAAGUUGGGACAGCAUUAUGGGGUUCUCUUUGUAACUAUGAUCGUUUUAUCAGUGGCUUGGUUUGGAGAAAUAUUUAUUGUUUUUCUUGAUAUUUCUACAAUUAUUUGUCGCGACGUAAUUUUUCUACACAUGUAUCAUCUGGUGUUCACAGGGUAUGUGUUACAUGAGAUUGGUGUGCAAAAGAAAUCUCCUUUCUCAAUAACAACACUGCACCUAGUUAAUUUUGGCCUAUGAAGUGGAGAAAUAGGAGAUAAGUGCCUCCUCCCUUUGAACAAUUUACAUGUAUCAACCAGUUAUGUUUCUAGGCUUAAAGGAUAUCCUCUUCAUAACAGUGGCCUGAGGACUUCUCUUUAUUAGGAGGAAUCUGAAAUUGUCUGUUCAUAUGGAAACACAACGAUCUUGAAAUUGGAUGCAAAUUUGUUUUCAUGAAUCAUCAUCUCUACAGUCUGUGUCGUAUACUCUCUACUGUUGCUAGGCUAUGAUUUGGUCAUCUCUACUGAGGCUCUUUACAUUUCAGUAGUUGUUUGAUAAUCGGUAUCUACUUUUGUGAAUUUUUUUUAGUCUGCUGUGUGGGUUUGACAUGGGAUAUUUGUGGCAGGCAGGGAGCUUAAGUAUGGUUAUUAUCAAAGAGAUGAAGAUUGGUUAUUAUAGGAGAAUGAGAAGAUUGGUUAUUAUUUAAGAAUGAAUUCAGAUAAAUUUUGUCCUUUGAGUACAUGACAUAUAAAUUGAACUUGAGCUUACUUUUUUUUACCAAUGAAUAUGCUUUUUCUGCAGCUUGGUUUGUCAAAAUAAUAACUUCUGUCAACGCAUGGAGCCUCCAGUUUUGAUUUGCUGUUGUCUAGUAAAUUCUUUUUGUUUCAGUCUUUAUUGAUUUUGAUAGCAUAUAUUUCUUGAUUUGUGAUUUACUCUUUGGUGCUGCUUCUAUAAUCUAGAUUGCAAGGGAUUUACAUAGUAACAUGAUUUUCUCAGAUCUGUUGUCACACUUCGAAUGACUCAUGCAUUGUGGUUUUUCAAACUAAUAAUCUUCUUUAUAGCAUGGAACCUAGCAUUUUGAUUCGGUCAUAUCUAUUAAAUUAUUUUCAUUUUCAAACUUUCAAGUUGUUUGUGAACUUACAAUUUCUUGAUUUUUUCUGGUUAUAUCUAUCUUCCUCUUUUUAUUACUUCAGUCUCUUGAUUCUAAUGUUUGAUUUGUUUAUUGUUGGGUUUGUUAUUAAAGUUGUUGUUUUUAUUUUAAUGAUCUGAUUAUUGAGUUUCUUAGGGUUUUUGUAUCCAAGCAUACAGGUUUAUUUUGGCAAACUUCAUUUUCAUUUCAGUUAUUCUCUGUGUUUUAAUGUCCAAUCUUUUUUGUUUUCGUUCCAUGGUUGUUACAUGUGAGAGAUAUUGAUGUGCGACGAGGGUUGCUGGUUUUAUCUGAAUAGUUCAGCCCACUACUGUUUUCUUACAUUAAGGUUUAUGUAUGACAUGUAAUCUGACAGUGAGGUUUUACACGAUUCUGGAAAAGUUGGGACAACUUUGUGAGGCUCUCUCUGAUCUGCUGAUCAGAGGCUUGGUUUGGAGAAUUAUGCUAAUCUUUUCUCUUUUUUCUUCGUUUUCUCUACAACUAUUUGCACACUACCCCAUCAUUCUACUGUUUUCUGAUAUUUAGGUAUCUGACAGUGAGGUUUUACACGAUUCUUGAAAAGUUGGAACAACUUUGUGAGGCUCUCCUUGUGAUCUGCUGAUCAGAGGCUUGGUUUGGAGAAUUAUGCUAAUCUUUUCUCUUUUUUCUUCGUUUUUUCUACAACUAUUUGCACAACACUACCCUAUCAUUCUACUGUUUUGUGAUAUUUAGGUUUCUGACAUAUAAUCUAACAGUGGAAGUUUGCUCAAUUCUGGAGAAACUGCAACAGCUUUGUGGGGUUUGCUUGAUACAACGGACAAGAAUGGAGAACGGUUCCAGAUAGAUAAAUAAAAUUCCUUCAAUGAAUCGUUCUUAUUUAUUUUAAUUUCUGGGAUUCGAUUGCAAGUCAUAAAUUGAAUUGUGUACAUGUUUUUCUGCAGUGUGAAAAAUUGGGACAACUUUGUGGGGUUCGCUUUGUAACUAUGAUUUCAGAGAUAACCAGCUUGGUUUGAGGAAAUCUUUUUGUUGUUUUUUGUUUUUUUUUUCGUACAACUAUUUGUUGCGGCGUAAUUUUUCUGCACAUGUAUCAUCUGUGGUAUUCGCAGGGUCUGUGGUAUACAAGGGUUUGGUGUGCAACAGAGGUCUCCUUUCUCAAUCACACUGCACCUUGUUGAUUUUUCCGUCUGAAGUGGAGAAGUAGGAGAUGAGUGCCUCUUAUUUUCCCUCCUGUCAAGCAAUUUAAAUGCUUCUCGGUCCUUCCUACAGGCUUGGGCUUGGUUUAGUGCACACUUUCUCAUUCAUCCUUGCGGAACUUGAGUACUACUCUCGCUUAUCUCUUCGCCCUUCCCAAGAUGAGUGAUUAUGAUCAAUUUGAUUACGUUUUACGUGUUGUUUGUUCUGGUGAUUUGUUUCUGUUGGGGGCGACAUUACUUUGUUCGGGGAGGUUUACACUAUAAUUGUCUUUUACUGUAUUGUGGCCCAGGGACUUCUCUGUAUUAGGAGGAAACUGAAAUUGUCUCUUCAUAUGGGUACACAACGAUCUUGCAAAUUUGAUGAAAUUUGUUUCGAUGAAUGAUCAUCUUCUACAGGCUGUCUUAUACUCCCUAGCAUCGCAAGGCUAUAAUUUGGUCAUUUCUAUUGAGAAUCUGUUACAUUCAGUCUUUGUUGAAUAAUAAUAAUCAGAAUCUACUUUUGUCAGCUCUUUUAAGUUUUUUGUGUGCCUGUUACAGGGGAGAUGGCCUAUAAAUGUGUGGCAGGUAUAGAGGUUCACUUACUUUUUGUUCAGCAUUGGAAUAAAAUUGGUCAUCCCUCUUACUUUCCGUUCAUCCCUGGGAUAAAACUGGUCAUGCCUCUUAACGUUCCCGUUCAGCCUUGAAUAAAUAAAACUGGUCAUUUUAUACUUACAUGUGUUUUGCGUUGGGAUUUGGCAUAAUGGUCCUAUGAAAGUGUCCCCUGCUAGUUUAGCAAUUUUCGCAUCAGGAAUGUGAGUAUGAAGCAUACGAGAUUCUGAGCCUUUUGAAUUUAACGGGUAUUGUUUCUUCCUUGAAUGUAGAUGUCCAUCUCUUUCUUGGAUAAUCAAGAUAUACGCGUCUGUUUUGCAGUGAGCUGAAGUUUAGACAUCUAGAACGUUGGGAUGCUUUAUAGAAUGGAUAAGAAAGGAGGGUCAAGUUAAAUCCAAUUACUUCAACAUGUUGUUCUUUUCAGUUGGAGGGUCAAGAUAAAUCCAAUUAUUUCAACAAGAUGUUCUUUUCAGUUUUGGGCUUUGUGAUUAAGACAUAUACAAAUUGAAUUGCGAAUCUUUUUCUUUUCAGUAUAUCGAUUCUAAGUUCACAUAUUUUUUUUGAGUAGUUAUUUUCCUCUUUGGUGUUGCAGGAGAGGUAAUCUAACAUGCAAUCCCUUAUUUUCCUCUUAAAGUUUUGUAUUCUCACUUUUGUAUCUUGUUGUUGAGGUUUGAUUUGGUUCUUGCUGGUUUGAUCUUGGAGGUUGCUGUUCUUAUUUUAAUGACCUACUGCUAUUAAUGAAUUAUUUGGGUUUUAGUUAAUUGUUAAUCUCAUUUGGUUAUUUGCGUAGUUUUGGUAGAGUUAUGCUGGUAAAAAUAAAGGAAUAUUGAGUUAUGUAUUUAUCCAUUUUGCAGAAAGUUUAUUUCUGGAUAUCCGCAGCAAUUUGCAAUUCCAUAUAAUACAGAUAAUGGCUAUAGAUAGAUAAUUCAAAUUUCUUCAAUGAGUUGUUAUUAAUUUUAAUUUUGGGAUUUCAUUGCAAGACAUACGGAUUGAAUUGUGAACAUUUUUAUUUUCCUCAGGUGUUGUAGGUUGGAAACACGUGAUUUCUCCUGGUUUUAUCUUUCUCUUGUUUGAUCUUCAUGUUUAGUAUUCUGAUUUAUUUGGUUAUGGCUUUUAUUGGCAUUCACAAAAAUAUUUAUUAUGAUGCUGUUUUCUUGCAGUGUAGUGUUUUUCAAACAAAUAACAUUCUGUUUAGUAACAAGGCUCGAGUUUAUUUUGGUACUUUUUAAUUGGAUUGUGGAUGAUUAUGUUUGUUUCAUUUCUUUUCUUCCAAUUUUUAUCCUCUGUUAUGCGACUUGGUUUGAAGAAUUAAGCUAUUAUUCUUUCUUUCUUUUCAGUUCUUUUUCCUACAACCCAUAUGUCACAGCGUAAUUUUCUGUACAUUUUCAUCUGGUGUUUGCAGGGUAAGUGUUACAUGGUUUGGUGUACCACAAUUGUUUCCUUCUGUCUCAAUCAGAGUGCUCCUUUUCAAUUUUCCGUCUAAAGGGGAGAAAUUGAAGAUGAGUGUAUUUGCUGCUUUGCACUAAUCUUUGUGAAUGAGAACACAUGGACCAUAAUGUUUGCUGUCUGUGUCAUAUAUUUUCUAGGCUUUAAUUUGGUGGUCUCUACUCAGAUUAUGAAUUCUUUACAUUUUCAGUAUAGUCGUUUCAGCAUCCAUAUUGAGUAAUGGCCCAAGGAGUCCUCUGGUAUUAGGUGGAAGCUUAAAUUGUCGAUUCAUAUUGAGUAAUGGAUCUUGCAAGUUGGAUGUUUCUGCAGUCUGUGUUGUAUGCUUUAAUUUGGUAUCUCUGCUAAGAAUGACUUUACAUUUAGUCGUUGUUUGUUUCUCAGUUCUUUUUGAAUUUUGUGUGGGUGUUACAGGCGAGAUAGAAUAUAUGUGGCCUGUGGAUAGCCAGAGGUACCAUACUUUCCAUUCAGCCUUGGGAUAAGUGAUAUUCCUUUGAUUGUUGUCCUGCUAGUGGAGUUUAUGUGUUUCUGUAUGAGGAGCAUACGAAUAUUCUCAUUGUUGUUAUGCUUUCAUUUGGUAACCACUACUCUAAAUAUGAAUUCUUCAAGAUUCUGUCUUCUUGGGGAUCUAGUUUUCUUCAUUCCUCAAGCUCCAUGUGGGUUUCACAGGUAAAUUGGGACUGUGAUUUGUUGUUGCGAGAUUAUCAAGUUCUGCUCGGUUAUUAAAGCAGAGAUAGCCAAUGAAAUGUGGGAUGCAUAUUAUCAAGGACAUGCUUUGAGCCUUGGGAUAAAAUGUUGUCCUCGUGUGUGAUGUGGUAAUGUUGAUUUUUGUGUGUUGUUUAUCAGUAAUCUAAGUAUUUGGAGAGCUUCAUAAUUUAUGAUUAUUAUGUCUUUUUCAAGAAGAGGAGUUGAAUAUGAUUCUAGAGUACUUCAAGAAUAAAUCGCACAUCAAUAAAUUCCUCGAAUCAGUGCGGAGCAUGACUUUUGAAGGUUUGAUGUUGUUUGCCUUUGUUUCUUUAUUGUUGAGUUCUGCUUGUUAGUCUGGACCUAGAGCACCGUGAGCCUUGUUUUCGAGUAGUUAUUAUCUGGUGGUUUGACCUUCCUGUAUCUGUUGUAAUCUGUGUUAAGGGGGAUUUUCUAUACUCUUCUUUUAUUUGGUAAGAGUGAAUCUCUUCUCCUAAGUGGAUAUUUCUUUGUUAUUGCAGCACAAGAACCCAUCAUAAUUAUACUUCUUUUAAGAACCUGCCUGACUUCAAGGUGAUUUCUACUCGGUUAUAUAUCCUUUGUGCUUUCUUAGUUAUUGCUAAUGUAGGUGGAUUGUCAAUUCAGCUUUUGGACAAAACUAGUCAUUUUCUUUACCUGAAUCUAACACUGUGCUGUAAUUCUCUCUAUCAAGAACCACCAAGAUUCUAGCAUGUAUGGGGACUCCUAUAUUUUUCCCUUUGUGCACAGUAUUGGGUGUGGUUGAGAGUCUUAUCAGAUUGAUUAUACUUCACUAUUUAACAAUAGAGUGGUGGACUCCUAGCUUGUGAAUCUAUAUUGGGUUGUGAAGUGGUGGCCGAGGUUACUACAAACGUACUGAUCAUUUUUCAAUUUAUAUGUACUUUUUUCAGUUAUCUUUUGAUUGGUCGUUCCAGUGAUAACUAGUGUUAAACAAAAUUCUGUGGAAAUCUCUUAUUGUAGGAUGAGUUUUGGGGGCAGCUUGGUUGAAGGAUUUUGUUUCAAUGAAUAUUCUGUGUAAAUAAGUAUCCUCUAUGUCACAGUUGGCACAAGAAACUCGAUAUGGCAUUAGGAGGACAGUUAAAUUUUGUCUCAUUGAGGUGCAAUUUAAUGCGUAGGUAAGUGAAGGUUGGAUCGUGAUCUGAUUUCCCGGAAAAUUGAGUCUAGUCUUCUCAAUUUCUGUGAUUACGCUAGUUGAGAAGUUGCUGCUAUAUAUUAGAAUUUGACCUCUACCAUUGCAAUUCAUGUGCCAAAUAGAACCUUAUAUAUGUUUAAAAAAUGAAGCAGCUAUGUAUUAGUUUGAAAAUACUAGAACACAUGAACCUGAUGUUGUUAAUUGUGUGAAGGAUUUUGGAGGUUUAGUCCCAUAGUCUUGUAAUCAGAGACACUUUAGGGGUAAUUAGAAUGGCUAGAAGAAAUUCAGGUUUCACCUCUUUAUGACA